Molecule: long non-coding RNA, 1084 nt
Organism: Ictalurus punctatus (channel catfish)
Lineage: Eukaryota; Metazoa; Chordata; Actinopteri; Siluriformes; Ictaluridae
Source: Ensembl
GUCUUAGUGAUUCUGAGUCCCUCGCUCCCUAUGGCAUUCCUGCUUCCUGCUUCCUGCUUCCUGCUUCUGCUUCCUGCUUCCUGCUUCCAUUCAGUCUUAGAGCGGCGCUGGUGGUGCGUGCAUUGAGGCGAAUUGGCGCCGGAGAUCGCGUAAAGUGUUUGCAACAUUUAGCCGGUGGCUGAAUGAUAUGUGUAUGUAUGUCGAGCUGCGGUACCUGUGAGUAAUCAUACAACUUCGCGUCUGGUGUUUGUUCAACCCAAUGGUGAGAGUGGGGAGUUGAGCUAAGCCUUCUCUAUUACAAACCCCUAGCUGAAGACGCUACAUGUGACGCCGCUGCUGUUUUGCUUAUUGGAUUGUAUUGCUCCAAUUAUUGUUUUGCUUCAACAAUUGUUUUGCUUUAGUGCAUCAACAAUUGUUUUGCUUUAUCUAUUGUUUGCUUCAUGGUUUUAUGUAUUUUGUUUUACUUUUUUUUUUAUUUACGUCUGGUUUGUUUUGUAACCACAUGUAGUCUGAGAGUGGUAAAUUAGUUUUCUAGCCUCAAACCUGUUUCAGGUUUGUUGUUCCACCUAACCACUUUACUACUGAGAGGGUGUAUGUUACUGUCUCCAUGCUAUAGUGGCCAUAAUUGUCAUUUGUACUGUUUACCAUAAUUCUGGUUCUGCUUGGGUGUUAUCCACCGCCUCCAUUUCUUGUGGUGGUGUCAGUGGGCCUGGGUGUUAUAGUUACCAUACCACAGUGUCUGUUAUUUGUCUUUCUACGUUUUGUUGUUUAGUGUCUGUGUAAAUUUGGGUUAACUGGUGUCUUCUUUCUCUCCAGGAGCCAGUGAGUCUUGGUGGCACAGGGGAGGCUAGCUGCAUUUAUUCAGUGUGGGUUUGGAUGACCUCCUGAGCUGUCGCUGGCCUGCCUUGUCCCUGCCAAGCCUGGGCCUGGAGAAGUGGUUAGUUUUAAAAUACUUACUGUGCUUCAUGUGACAGUGAUUUUAUAUUUUCAUGUCAAGUUUUAAAUGAUGCUGAAGUGUCAUAAUAAAAUAUAAAUUUAUAUUCGUACUCAUGUCUCACUCUCAUGUUCCUUGCCCCGAUUGGUG